This 177-nucleotide non-coding RNA is filed under the name Anaerolineaceae bacterium. RNAcentral describes it as "6S RNA". It matches the Rfam family "6S / SsrS RNA". Rfam says of the family: E. coli 6S RNA was the first non coding RNA to be sequenced, but its function was unknown until recently. It consists of 184 nucleotides that fold into an extended hairpin structure with a large single-stranded internal bulge. The record is from RNAcentral. Lineage: Bacteria; Bacillati; Chloroflexota; Anaerolineae; Anaerolineales; Anaerolineaceae.
GAUACCCUGCUGUGUUCGUGAUGCCGCACUAUCGGUUUUGAGCCAACACCUUAAAAAAGGGAACCAGUAUCCCAAUAGUAACGCGAUAGGCAACCAGCCAAGGCGGGUCUAUGGUCGAGGUUCCCACCUGCGAAAGCAGGUUCAAAACUUCGCAGCACACGGCAUGGUGGGGUACAU